UACGUAGGUGGCGAGCGUUAUCCGGAAUGAUUGGGCGUAAAGGGUGCGCAGGCGGUCCUGCAAGUCUGGAGUGAAACGUAUGAGCUCAACUCAUGCAUGGCUCUGGAAACUGGAGGACUGGAGAGCAGGAGAGGGCGGUGGAACUCCAUGUGUAGCGGUAAAAUGCGUAGAUAUCACACAGAACACCGAUUGCGAAGGCAUCUCACGAAUCCGCGAUUGACGCUGAUGCACGAAAGCGUGGGUAUCAAACAGG
Molecule: ribosomal RNA, 253 nt
Filed under: uncultured bacterium
Lineage: Bacteria
Description: partial 16S ribosomal RNA
Rfam family: Bacterial small subunit ribosomal RNA
Source: RNAcentral